Molecule: RNA transcript, 3241 nt
Organism: Ficedula albicollis (Collared flycatcher)
Lineage: Eukaryota; Metazoa; Chordata; Aves; Passeriformes; Muscicapidae
Gene: ABHD6
Gene name: abhydrolase domain containing 6
Exons: 10
Source: RefSeq, a predicted model, not a curated record
GAUGGUUUAAAUACCCCCAGCUCACCGGGCCGAGCCUGAAGGGAGGAGUGACGGCAGGGCUGCGAUUUUGACCUUGUUGUUUUUUUCCUCUUCUGACAGUGUUUUCAGACACUGCCGCUGCCCACAGCGAGCAGGGCUUGUGCCGAGAGGAGGAGGGGAACUCUGCAAGGCAGGUGAGGCUGAGUAGUGAAGAGCAGCAUGGACCUGGAUUUGCUGAACAUGUUUGUCAUCGCUGGUGGCACUCUGGCCAUCCCCAUCCUGGCCUUUGUGGCCUCAUUCCUCCUCUGGCCCUCGGCGCUCAUCCGCAUCUACUACUGGUACUGGCGCCGAGCCUUGGGCAUGCAGGUCAGAUAUGCAAACUACGAUGACUAUCAGUUUUGUUAUUCCUAUAGAGGAAGGCCUGGGUACCGGCCGUCCAUCCUGAUGUUACAUGGGUUCUCAGCCCACAAAGACAUGUGGCUGUCCAUAGUCAAGUUCCUGCCAAAGAACCUGCACUUGAUAUGCGUGGACAUGCCUGGGCACGAGGGCACGACCCGCUCGGACUUGGAUGAUUACUCCAUUAGUGGGCAAGCUAAGAGAAUACACCAGUUCGUGGAGUGCAUCAAGCUGAACAAAAAGCCCUUUCAUCUGGUUGGCACUUCCAUGGGGGGGAAUGUUGCUGGCGUCUACGCUGCUCAGUACCCAGAAGAUAUUUGCAGCCUGACCCUCAUCUGUCCUGCAGGCCUGCCAAGUACCACAGACAGCAAGUUCAUCAAGCAGCUGCGGGAGCUGCAGGAGUCCAAACGCAUUGACAGGAUCCCUUUAAUCCCCUCCACGCCCGAGGAGAUGGCAGAGAUGCUGAAGCUUUGCUCCUACGUUCGCUUCAAGGUGCCACAGCAGAUCCUCCAGGGCCUCGUUGACGUUCGCAUCCCACACAAUGAAUUCUACCGCAAACUGUUUUUAGAAAUCGUGGAUGAAAAGUCCAGGCACUCUCUCCAUGAGAACAUGAGCAAGAUCAAAGCACCGACACAGGUCAUCUGGGGAAAGCAGGACCAGGUCCUGGACGUGUCUGGUGCCAGUGUUUUAGCAGGUGCUAUUCCAGACUGCCAUGUGUACAUCCUGGAGAACUGUGGGCACUCUGUGGUGGUGGAGCGGCCCCGCAAGACAGCCAACCUCAUCCUGGAGUUCCUGGCGCUGCUGCACAGCAUAGACAACAACAAGAAGCAGGCAUGAGCACAGCAGGGAGCCAAGUGCCCAUGCCAGGUUAAAUUGUAAAGUACUGCAGCUUUGAUACGUUCUCAGGGAUCUUGUAUGAAUUGGGGUCAAUGUGCCAAAGUCCCUGAGGAAGGCAGAAUCACUGAUACCUAAACCUAUAGCACCACUGGCACAGCAACCUGGGGUCAUUGAGCAACCUCCAUAGAUGCAGGAACAGAAGCAGAGUAUCUCCCUUUUCUACUUAGAGGUAAGGUAGAAAUGAGCUGAAAUCACCCAGUGCUCAUCACAUAGCCACCCAUCUUACCUGGGUUACCAGCACAUAGUUGUUCAUGACAUUUACCUAAACUAUAUAUGAAAUGUAGGAAGAUACCUGAAAUCCUGGACUGAGACUGAGACUUACAAUGUUUUUACUACGUCGAGUCCAUCGUGUUGCAUGCUGCUGUGCUGUAAGAGAACCCCCAAGUGCUCCAGGCGUCUGCUUGAGUGCUCUUUGUGUAGCUCCUUAUCUCAUGAUUUAUGCAGAAAACAACAGAAAACUCCAUGUGUGGAAGUCCAAUGACUGUAUGUGCAAAAAUGUUUACACUUCGAGUGGGUUUUUCUAAAUCUCUGAAUAGCUCCUGUGUAUUUGUAAUGCCUUAACAUUGCCCAGGGUGUGGUGUCUGUGCAGAACCUUGCCCAGGGUUGGUUCUACCUGAGGGUGAACACAGCCAGUGACAAUGGGGUGCAGGCAGCAGCUUUGGCACCGCUGUGGAGCCGGGGCAAUGGGAACCGCCCGGGGUGAUUUGGCCCCUGAGCCCGAGUCAGCAAUAAGCCCAUGGCCAGGGUGUGAUUCACCACCUUGGGUGAACUCUUGUCUCAGCUCCUCUAUCACAUUGUGCUGCUGAACACCUGGAUGUAAAUAAUGAUUUUCUUAAUGAAUUCUGUGAAUUCUGCAAAAGCCAAUGCCACAGGAACAGGCGUGAGAGGUGGGAGGGGGCUGUGUGUGUGACCAGCACAGGGAAUGGUGAGGAGGGGUCAGCUCGCCCACGGGCAGUGGUGGGGAAGGUACAAUGUACUUCUGCAUCCUCUCCAUGAUUACAACUCCUGACCCAGGGAGGCUGGAGGUAGAAACAGGUAAUACAGGCAAGCUGCACUUUACAGCCUGCAAGGUGAUGUUCGGGGAUGGAUCCUGCACAGGUGUGUCCCUCACUGCACUUUACAGCCUGCAAGGUGAUGUUCAGGGAUGGAUCCUGCACAGGUGUGUCCCUCGCUGCACUUUACAGCCUGCAAGGUGAUGUUCAGGGAUGGAUCCUGCACAGGUGUGUCCCUCGCUGCACUUUACAGCCUGCAAGGUGAUGUUCAGGGAUGGAUCCUGCACAGGUGUGUCCCUCGCUGCACUUUACAGCCUGCAAGGUGAUGUUCAGGGAUGGAUCCUGCACAGGUGUGUCCCUCGCUGCACUUUACAGCCUGCAAGGUGAUGUUCAGGGAUGGAUCCUGCACAGGUGUGUCCCUCACUGCACUUUACAGCCUGCAAGGUGAUGUUCAGGGAUGGAUCCUGCACCUCUCCAGGUGUGUCCCUCACUGCCUGUCCCAGGGCAGAGUGCUGAUCCUGCUCUCAGGCAGGACCAGUGGGUGCUGGAGGGCAAGGCAGUGUGUGGAGCCUCAAAGGCAAAGCAGCAGGUGGCUGUCACCCCUCAGCCACCCCCAGCCCUCCUCAGGGGGUGGCAGUGGGUGCUGUUAGAGUGUUCCACCCCCAGUCCCCGACUGGCAACACAGGCUUGUGGUGCUGACAGCUUCCUGAGCUACCCAGAUCUGUACAUACAUCCCUGUCAGCUUCUUGGCUCUUUUUAAGAGAAGAACCAUUGUUCUUUUAGAAAAAUAGAAAUUUGCUGUUAAUUGCUUGGUUAUUGUUUCUACUACAGGAGUUGAUUUAACAACCAAAAUUGCUGAUAGCUUUAUGUGGUAAAAGCCAGAAAAACUUGUUCGGUAUCUAUAUGGUUUCUCAUGCCACAGAUUGCUGUAUGCAAAGGAUUUAUAUGGCUAUUAAAAUCUAGUGAUUUAAGGAGUC